GGCCGCUUAGCUCAGUUGGUUAGAGCGUGGUGCUAAUAUGUCGGGGUUAAGCCCUAAAUUACACGCCAAGGUCUUGGGUUCUACCCCCACAGUGGCCA
This is a non-coding RNA of Mycena floridula, 98 nucleotides long. The record is from the annotation of a GenBank genome assembly. Lineage: Eukaryota; Fungi; Basidiomycota; Agaricomycetes; Agaricales; Mycenaceae.